GAAGAAGGAAGAAGGCAGCCGGGGUCCUUGCAGCACCAGUUAGCCGUUUGGCUAGUAGCCGUGUGGGACUGGGUGUCCUGUGGUGUAUUUUGUCUCAAUUGAAGAACUGUUUUCCUGAUGGAAUAAAUUCAGGACCACCAUGUAUUUGUCUGGUAGUGCACCUUAAAGGGUGUUGGAUGUUGAUUGCUAGUCGCUGUUCUCUUAUAUUGUUUUUUUGUUUGAUGUUUAUUUGAUUUUAUGUGACAAUUGUGAAACUGACUGCUCCCUGACUUAUUUGUGGUGAUUAAUUUCCUAGCCAGCUAUAUGUGUUUUUGUUUAUUGUUUUUUGUUUAAUGUAUUGGUUGAUUUGUUGCUGGCUAGUGGAAUUGUUUAUUUAUCUAUUUUUGUUUUUUUCUUUAAAUUAUGUAUUUAAUUUAAACCGCUUUCCAUCCUUGAUUAAGCUGCAGGGGGUAGUUUCCCAUCGUGGUCGGUGGAGAACUGGGAGUACAAUUUAAUAGAGCCCUUAUAGGUCUUUUGGUGUGGCUUCUAAUUGUGAACGUGUAUCACAUAAGCAUGUUUGUAGUGAAGGGCUUAUGGGGGUUUGCUGUGGUUUGCACAUGAUGCAGUGAAGUGUCCCCUGUAUAGGUAGCUCAGGUUUUUUUGUAUUCCUAGUUGGACAAAUUGAGAAAUUGCUGCCCCUGCCAGCUGAAUUAAGUCAUGCCCUGAAUAAUUUUAUGGUAGUGUUUAAUAAAGAAUUUUGUACUUUUUUUACAAUUUGUUGUUG
Xyrauchen texanus (razorback sucker) is the source of this 763-nucleotide long non-coding RNA. RefSeq lists it as uncharacterized. NCBI's taxonomy places the organism in Eukaryota, Metazoa, Chordata, Actinopteri, Cypriniformes, Catostomidae. The record is from RefSeq and is a predicted model, not a curated record. The transcript has 3 exons.